CCCGACACAACAUAAGGGGGCACGCCCGCCGAACCACGUCAUCGGCUCCCUCUUGAGGAAGCACUUCCCUGGAUUGUCCAAGCCGGGUGAUGACGAUCCGCCGUCGCCAGGUUUAACCUGGGAGCAUUACGUACAUAAUAAGGAUGAGCACGAUGUCACCAUGGCCACUCGGGUCAUCAAUGCUUUUUUCAAACAUUUGCUUGCGUGGAUGGUGAGAAGCAGAAGGCGAUCAAAGGCAUCGUGAAGUCUGCCCGAAAGAUACUCUCUGACACCAAGCACACGCUGCGGUACAAAGCCGUGAUGCAGUGUCGGCCGCUGGACUCGAAGGGAGAGAAGAUGACAAGGAAGACUGCUUGCCAGACCAACUUGUCGUGAGAAGAAUACCUGUCAGUGGUGAAGGAACCCUGGAUGAAGGACGAUUGUUGGGAGGCCCUGGUUGACAUGUGGUGUGACCCAGCAUGGCAGGCGCAGCAUGUGGAGAAGGGAAACGAAUGAGCCAAAAUGCCAGGCCCGGCUCAUGUCCAGGGGAGCCGGAACCUAACCGCUCUCAAGCAACACAUGGAGGCGAAGGUUGGUCGACAGGUCCACAUCCUGGAAGCCUGAAAAGAAGGCCACAAGGGGAAGGAUGGCGUCGAGUUCUGCAGCGAGUCGGCGGAGGAGAAGUGGUGGACUUUCAAAGAGGUCUUCCAGGAGGUGCACGGGGAGGAAGCCGAACCUACGUCCAAGCCCCUUGACCCUGAGCUUCUCAUCAUUGCUGGCGAGGGGAAGGGCCAUGGCCGCCACCUCCUUUGCAACGGGGCGAUCGCCACCUCCGGGCACCGCAAGCUGCACGAGAUAUGCACGUCGAGCACCAGCUCAACUCCGUCCAUACGGAGUCGCCCAACCACCGCAUCACGUGAGAUAGCGCGUCUCAAGGAUUUAAUGGCGCAGCGGGCUGUUGAAGAGGAGCAAAGGCGGAAGGCUGAGGAGGAGUCCAGAGAAAAGGAACAUGUAGACACUAACAAUAGGUUGAAGAUGCUUGAGGAUCAACUACAGGUAGAACAUUAUCUAAAC
Long non-coding RNA from Triticum dicoccoides, 1053 nucleotides. RefSeq lists it as uncharacterized. Lineage: Eukaryota; Viridiplantae; Streptophyta; Magnoliopsida; Poales; Poaceae. The transcript is spliced from 5 exons. The record is from RefSeq and is a predicted model, not a curated record.